This 402-nucleotide ribosomal RNA is filed under the name uncultured bacterium. RNAcentral's name for it is "bacterial SSU rRNA". It matches the Rfam family "Bacterial small subunit ribosomal RNA", at positions 355 to 774 of the family's 1533-position model. The record is from RNAcentral.
UCGGGAAUUUUGGGCAAUGGGCGAAAGCCUGACCCAGCAACGCCGCGUGAGGGAUGAAGUAUUUCGGUAUGUAAACCUCGAAAGAAUGGGAAGAAUAAAUGACGGUACCAUUUAUAAGCUCCGGCUAACUACGUGCCAGCAGCCGCGGUAAUACGUAGGGAGCAAGCGUUGUUCGGAUUUACUGGGCGUAAAGGGCGCGUAGGCGGCGCGGUAAGUCACUUGUGAAAUCUCUGAGCUUAACUCAGAACGGCCAAGUGAUACUGCUGUGCUAGAGGGCGGAAGAGGCAACCGGAAUUCUUGGUGUCGCGGUGAAAUGCGUAGAUAUCAAGAGGAACACCUGAGGCGAAGGCGGGUUGCUGGGCCGACACUGACGCUGAUGCGCGAAAGCCAGGGGAGCAAACG